This 800-nucleotide ribosomal RNA is filed under the name uncultured bacterium. RNAcentral's name for it is "bacterial SSU rRNA". It matches the Rfam family "Bacterial small subunit ribosomal RNA", at positions 8 to 796 of the family's 1533-position model. The record is from RNAcentral.
AGAGUUUGAUCCUGGCUCAGGACGAACGCUGACGGUGUGCUUUAGGCAUGCAAGUCGAACGAGAAAGCCCUUCGGGGUGAGUAAAGUGGCGAACGGGUGAGUAACACGUGGGCAACCUGCCCCUCGCAGGGGGACAACCGGAGGAAACUCCGGCUAAUACCCCGUAAGCUCUACACGCCGCAUGGGAGUAGAGGAAAGGUAGCUUCGGCCAUCCGGCGAGGGAUGGGCCCGCGGUGCAUUAGCUAGUUGGUGGGGUAACGGCCCACCAAGGCGACGAUGCGUAGCUGGUCUGAGAGGAUGAUCAGCCACACUGGGACUGAGACACGGCCCAGACUCCUACGGGAGGCAGCAGCCAGGAAUCUUGGGCAAUGGGCGAAAGCCUGACCCAGCAACACCGUGUGGGUGAUGAAGGCCUUCGGGUCGUAAAGCCCUGUUGAUAGGGACGAAGGGCGAAGGGUUAAUAGCCCGGAGCUUGACGGUACCUUUCGAGGAAGCCCCGGCUAACUACGUGCCAGCAGCCGCGGUAAUACGUAGGGGGCGAGCGUUGUCCGGAAUUAUUGGGCGUAAAGAGCGUGUAGGCGGUUCGGUAAGUCUGUCGUGAAAUCCUGGGGCUCAACCCUGGGCGUGCGAUGGAUACUGCCGGGCUAGAGGGUGGUAGAGGCGAGUGGAAUUCCCGGUGUAGCGGUGAAAUGCGCAGAUAUCGGGAGGAACACCAGUAGCGAAGGCGGCUCGCUGGGCCACACCUGACGCUGAGACGCGAAAGCUAGGGGAGCGAACAGGAUUAGAUACCCUAGUAGUCC